Molecule: long non-coding RNA, 583 nt
Filed under: Mytilus galloprovincialis (Mediterranean mussel)
Lineage: Eukaryota; Metazoa; Mollusca; Bivalvia; Mytilida; Mytilidae
Source: RNAcentral
AUAUACACGUUUCUUUAAUUCGAAAUGACUACACUUGCACGUAUAUAUAUAUAAAAGAAUCCCGUUACACCAAAAGAUAACAAGACAUAUUUAUGGAAGCAUAAAAUUAAAAUUUGCCUAUCACUGACACUAUGGAAGAAAAUUUACAGAAAAAUCAAAUAUUCACUCAAAGUAAUGUUAAGCAUAUAAAACUUAUUAAAAAACAAGAAGUCACCAAUUCAUCGAAGGGACGGAUCUUUAUUACCAUUGUUCUUUAUUUAUAGUCCCCAAGGUCAAUAUAGACAUGCAGUUUGAAUACCAUUCUUUGCUCUUAUCUUUCUAGUUUUAUAAUACAAAUGGAAAAAGAGAAGAUUUACUGUGUGUCGUGUCGGAAGAAAACAAACACAACGAAUUUAGUACCUUACACAGAUCCAAAGUCUAAGAAAAGGAUGCUCAAAGGCACUUGUACUGUAUGCAAGAAAGGAAAAUCAAUGUUUGUUUGACAUUGACACAGUUUACUUUCAGUACACAAUUCUUUUUAUAGGAGAUUGUUCAGUAUGAUUUGUUUUUAUUGUACAUUAUAACUAUACAUCUUAUAUACAAC